CUGGGUUUACAACCCCCAAACCACUGUGAACUGUACCUUACGUUGCCUCGGCGGCGUCUCGUAGCCACUCGGCUCGGGGCACGCCGGCGGCCUAGCACACUGUGUCUCCAAGCGUUGGCAUCUCUGAAAUUUAUGAAAAUAAGUCA
RNAcentral lists this unclassified non-coding RNA (146 nucleotides) under uncultured fungus. Its description in RNAcentral is "sequence contains ITS1, 5.8S rRNA gene". The record is from RNAcentral. Lineage: Eukaryota; Fungi.